This is a non-coding RNA of Hymenopellis radicata, 97 nucleotides long. Lineage: Eukaryota; Fungi; Basidiomycota; Agaricomycetes; Agaricales; Physalacriaceae. The record is from the annotation of a GenBank genome assembly.
UCGGAUAUGGUGUAACGGCUAACAUUAGCGCCUCUCAUGGUGUACGCGUCCAGUGAAUUGAGCGCGCUAGCUCGGGGUUCGAUUCCCCGUAUCCGAA